Molecule: ribosomal RNA, 275 nt
Filed under: Gammaproteobacteria bacterium
Lineage: Bacteria; Pseudomonadati; Pseudomonadota; Gammaproteobacteria
Description: partial 23S ribosomal RNA
Rfam family: Bacterial large subunit ribosomal RNA
Source: RNAcentral
GGGAGCUGCUCCUAGUACGAGAGGACCGGAGUGGACGUACCCCUGGUGUUCCGGUUGUCACGCCAGUGGCAUUGCCGGGUAGCUACGUACGGAACCGAUAACCGCUGAAAGCAUCUAAGCGGGAAGCGGCACCAAAGAUGAGUUCUCACUGGAACUUUAAGUUCCUUGUAGGUCCGUCGAAGACUACGACGUUGAUAGGCAGGGUGUUGAAGCACAGUAAUGUGUGAAGCUAACCUGUACUAAUUGACCGUAAGGCUUGACCAUAUAACCCCAAG